CCUACGGGAGGCAGCAGUGGGGAAUAUUGCACAAUGGGGGAAACCCUGAUGCAGCGACGCCGCGUGAGUGAAGAAGUAAUUCGUUAUGUAAAGCUCUAUCAGCAGGGAAGAAGAUGACGGUACCUGAGUAAGAAGCCCCGGCUAACUACGUGCCAGCAGCCGCGGUAAU
Molecule: ribosomal RNA, 169 nt
Filed under: uncultured bacterium
Lineage: Bacteria
Description: partial 16S ribosomal RNA
Rfam family: Bacterial small subunit ribosomal RNA
Source: RNAcentral